UCAAAACCAAAGACUUCCCUCCCUUGAUUGAAAAAUUUGGGUCAUUCUCCCUCCCUUUCUCUCUCACCAUCUCACCAGCCUAUCGAGAGUGAAAUCGAUACAUUCUCGCUCUCACUCUCUCUCGCUCUUGCCUCACUCUCUCUCUGCCUCUCACUCUCACUCUCUCUCCGCCGCCCCAGCUCGAAGUCGCUACCUGGUCCGGUGGUUUACUCUCUCCGCCGCCUCAGCUCGAAGUCACCGAAACUUAAGACCGCAUCAACUCCGGUCGAGCUAGAUAAUUGAUUAGUCUACAGAACGUGAAUUGGGUGGUGUUAGGGAGGUCCAGGGGUAAAGACUCCACUUCUUGUUUAGAGAAAAUGGAACUGGGUCUUGCUUCACGUUCUUUUGAUUCCUUUGACUUUAAAUUUGGAUUUCGUUUACAAUAAUCAACAGAAGUAGUGCAGAUAAGAAGGUAUUCACCAUUUCUAGAAAGUGCAUUACUAGAUGGUAAUAGUACCUUGGUAGCUGAUGAGCGACAGGCAGUUCCUAACAUUUGGAGAACUUCAGCUGAGAAAUAUGGGGAUCGUGUUGCAUUAACAGAUCCGUACCAUGAUCCACCGUCAAAUAUGACCUAUAAACAGCUGGAACAAGAGAUUUUGGAUUUUUCUGAAGGCCUAAGGAUUGUUGGAGUAAAGCCUGUAGAAAAAAUUGCACUUUUUGCUGAUAAUUCUUGUCGUUGGCUUGUUGCAGAUCAGGGCAUAAUGGCCACUGGAGCAAUCAAUGUGGUACGAGGUUCAAGGUCAUCAGUUGAAGAAUUGAUACAAAUAUACAAUCACUCUGAAAGGUUCAGUAAUUGCUCUCCGUUUACUCAAAUGUUGUUGUGCUAGACAUCUCACCAUCGUUUAUAAAUUAACAUAUAAUCUCUAAGAUGCUGUAUGCUAUUUAGUGCAUUUCUGUAAUUCAUUCCAACUUGGUGCAUAGCAUGGUCUCUAAAGUGAUAUUCAUUGUUCUUUGUUGAUUUUUACAGCUGAAACUUAUUAUAGAAUUAUACUAGGCUGCUUGCAACCCAUUCUUUUAGUCUGAUACUUCUUUUAAGGCCAAAAGGCAAAUAGAAAAAAAUUUAUAUGUUAGGAAAGGGUCCAUUAAAAACACAAACUAGGAACAUGAAAUUAUGAUUACUAGGGACACCGAUACAAGCGAUACAAGCGAGAACAUUGGUUCUAGUCGUCAGGAAAUAAGAAGAUAAAGAGAAAAUAUUGAGGGGUACCAGGGAGGAAUCAGCUUAAAUUUUGUAAGGAAUCAGCUUCGACAACAUGGAGAUGUCCAGUUCAGAUGCAGUUUCUUUUGUAAGGAAUCAGCUUCGACAACAUGGAGAUGUCCAGCUAGCUUGUUAUGCGCUUGCUGAAGCUGCUUUGGCAACAACUAAUUGAAUGGAUUGUGUUUAUUCUGACCAUAGCGCUGGAUUAUGUCAGGAAAGUCCAAAAUGCUUGAAAUUUUGGUUGCUUGAAACUUUUAUUUUUUUGAUGACAUGGUUGCUUGAAACUUUGGUUGCUAUUGUUUUGCAUGUAUUUUGGUGAAUGUCAUAUAUCUAAUUUUGGUUGCUGUUGGUUGCUUGGA
Rosa chinensis is the source of this 1596-nucleotide RNA transcript. RefSeq lists it as uncharacterized. The transcript has 8 exons. The record is from RefSeq and is a predicted model, not a curated record. NCBI's taxonomy places the organism in Eukaryota, Viridiplantae, Streptophyta, Magnoliopsida, Rosales, Rosaceae.